GAUGAACGCUGGCGGCGUGCCUAAUACAUGCAAGUCGAGCGAAUGGAUUAAGAGCUUGCUCUUAUGAAGUUAGCGGCGGACGGGUGAGUAACACGUGGGUAACCUGCCCAUAAGACUGGGAUAACUCCGGGAAACCGGGGCUAAUACCGGAUAACAUUUUGAACCGCAUGGUUCGAAAUUGAAAGGCGGCUUCGGCUGUCACUUAUGGAUGGAGCCGCGUCGCAUUAGCUAGUUGGUGAGGUAACGGCUCACCAAGGCAACGAUGCGUAGCCGACCUGAGAGGGUGAUCGGCCAAACUGGGACUGAGACACGGCCCAGACUCCUACGGGAGGCAGCAGUAGGGAAUCUUCCGCAAUGGACGAAAGUCUGACGGAGCAACGCCGCGUGAGUGAUGAAGGCUUUCGGGUCGUAAAACUCUGUUGUUAGGGAAGAACAAGUGCUAGUUGAAUAAGCUGACACCUUGACGGUACCUAACCAGAAAGCCACGGCUAACUACGUGCCAGCAGCCGCGGUAA
This 515-nucleotide ribosomal RNA is filed under the name uncultured bacterium. RNAcentral describes it as "partial 16S ribosomal RNA". It matches the Rfam family "Bacterial small subunit ribosomal RNA", at positions 28 to 523 of the family's 1533-position model. The record is from RNAcentral.